UACAGAGGUCCCAAGCGUUGUUCGGAUUCACUGGGCGUAAAGGGUGCGUAGGUGGUUGGGCAAGUCUGAUGUGAAAUCUCCGGGCUUAACCCGGAAAUGGCAUUGGAAACUGCCUGGCUAGAGUGUUGGAGGGGGGACUGGAAUUCUCGGUGUAGCAGUGAAAUGCGUAGAUAUCGAGAGGAACACCAGUGGCGAAGGCGAGUCCCUGGACAACGACUGACACUGAGGCACGAAAGCUAGGGGAGCAGACGGG
Molecule: ribosomal RNA, 253 nt
Filed under: uncultured bacterium
Lineage: Bacteria
Description: partial 16S ribosomal RNA
Rfam family: Bacterial small subunit ribosomal RNA
Source: RNAcentral